This 988-nucleotide ribosomal RNA is filed under the name Arthrobacter sp. SCP-6. RNAcentral describes it as "bacterial SSU rRNA". It matches the Rfam family "Bacterial small subunit ribosomal RNA", at positions 93 to 1178 of the family's 1533-position model. Lineage: Bacteria; Bacillati; Actinomycetota; Actinomycetes; Micrococcales; Micrococcaceae. The record is from RNAcentral.
UAGUGGCGAACGGGUGAGUAACACGUGAGUAACCUGCCCUUAACUCUGGGAUAAGCCUGGGAAACUGGGUCUAAUACCGGAUAUGACUCCUCAUCGCAUGGUGGGGGGUGGAAAGCUUUAUUGUGGUUUUGGAUGGACUCGCGGCCUAUCAGCUUGUUGGUGAGGUAAUGGCUCACCAAGGCGACGACGGGUAGCCGGCCUGAGAGGGUGACCGGCCACACUGGGACUGAGACACGGCCCAGACUCCUACGGGAGGCAGCAGUGGGGAAUAUUGCACAAUGGGCGAAAGCCUGAUGCAGCGACGCCGCGUGAGGGAUGACGGCCUUCGGGUUGUAAACCUCUUUCAGUAGGGAAGAAGCGAAAGUGACGGUACCUGCAGAAGAAGCGCCGGCUAACUACGUGCCAGCAGCCGCGGUAAUACGUAGGGCGCAAGCGUUAUCCGGAAUUAUUGGGCGUAAAGAGCUCGUAGGCGGUUUGUCGCGUCUGCCGUGAAAGUCCGGGGCUCAACUCCGGAUCUGCGGUGGGUACGGGCAGACUAGAGUGAUGUAGGGGAGACUGGAAUUCCUGGUGUAGCGGUGAAAUGCGCAGAUAUCAGGAGGAACACCGAUGGCGAAGGCAGGUCUCUGGGCAUUAACUGACGCUGAGGAGCGAAAGCAUGGGGAGCGAACAGGAUUAGAUACCCUGGUAGUCCAUGCCGUAAACGUUGGGCACUAGGUGUGGGGGACAUUCCACGUUUUCCGCGCCGUAGCUAACGCAUUAAGUGCCCCGCCUGGGNAGUACNGCCGCAAGGCUAAAACUCAAAGGAAUUGACGGGGGNCCCGCACAAGCGGCGGAANCAUGCGGAUUAAUUUCGAUGCAACGCNGAANAAACCUUUACCCAAGGCUUGACAUGAACCCGGAAAAUGCCUUGGAAAACAGGUGCCCCCNCUUNGCGGUNCGGUUUNACAAGGUGGGNGCAUGGNUUUUNCNUCAANCUUCNUNUUCCNNG